UAGGGAAUCUUCCGCAAUGGGCGAAAGCCUGACGGAGCAACGCCGCGUGAGUGAUGAAGGUCUUCGGAUCGUAAAACUCUGUUAUUAGGGAAGAACAUAUGUGUAAGUAACUGUGCACAUCUUGACGGUACCUAAUCAGAAAGCCACGGCUAACUACGUGCCAGCAGCCGCGGUAAUACGUAGGUGGCAAGCGUUAUCCGGAAUUAUUGGGCGUAAAGCGCGCGUAGGCGGUGUUUUAAGUCUGAUGUGAAAGCCCACGGCUCAACCGUGGAGGGUCAUUGGAAACUGGAAAACUUGAGUGCAGAAGAGGAAAGUGGAAUUCCAUGUGUAGCGGUGAAAUGCGCAGAGAUAUGGAGGAACACCAGUGGCGAAGGCGACUUUCUGGUCUGUAACUGACGCUGAUGUGCGAAAGCGUGGGGAUCAAACA
This 427-nucleotide ribosomal RNA is filed under the name uncultured bacterium. RNAcentral's name for it is "partial 16S ribosomal RNA". It matches the Rfam family "Bacterial small subunit ribosomal RNA", at positions 355 to 774 of the family's 1533-position model. The record is from RNAcentral.